This 581-nucleotide long non-coding RNA is filed under the name Malus domestica (apple). Its description in RNAcentral is "long non-coding RNA (MDOM_LNC020274)". Lineage: Eukaryota; Viridiplantae; Streptophyta; Magnoliopsida; Rosales; Rosaceae. The record is from RNAcentral.
UUUCCCUUUCCUAGAAGGAUCUAAUUUCCAAUUAAAGAGGGACUCUACAUCAAAAUUAGAAACAAUCCUACGUUUCCUAAAGCAAGAAGAUCUCUACAUCUGCUACCCUUUCCUACGAGCAGCCCAACAAGUGUGGGGGCAUUUGUGGAGCCAAAAAUAAUCAAGAAGAAUAUGAAGGCGACACAUGGAUUCUAGGGUAAAAAGGACAAAAUUACCCUCAAGGAACACCGAAAUUCCUACCCGCGAGUAGUGGACAAUCAUCCCUCAAUCAAGUCAAAAGUGCCCAAACUAAGUAUUUAUUUAUAACCUAUUUCAUCCAUCCUCAUCAAAUCUUCUCCACAAGGUAACCCCUAAAUCAUUCCUUUUUAUUAUAUUAAUUAGCUAAUUAAUUGAUUAAUUAUUCAACUAAUUUCCUAAUUAAACACAAAUCAUGAACUACACCCACAAAACCAUCCAAGUGGCUGGUCCAUCUCCUCCCAAGGUGGACGGCCACACCCCUAUAUAAACACCCCCAUUCUCUCCAAAACCUAAUUCCAAUUCUCUUGCUAAAUUCUCUAAAAUUUCCAUACAAUUUUCCCACA